AUGAAACAGCGCCGAUGGCCUGGGAAUCCUGUUUGCUCUUUCUGUCAACAAGUGGAGACGUCUCAGCACCUGUUCUUCGAGUGCUCUGUUGCUAGGGUCGUGUGGCGUGCCAUUGGGGUCACCUUGGGCACUAACCUUUGUCCUCGCAAUUAUUGACAAUUUUUUGCUUGGUGUCAUGCUUUUCUGCCUGGACAUGAAUCUUUUUACACAGUAGCUUUAGGCGCUGUCACUUGGUCUAUCUGGCUGGCCCGGAACAAGGCCACUUUCGAAAAGAAGAUGAUCAAAACUCCCUUUGAGAUUAUAUUUACAGCUGUUUCUUUUCUGUUAUAUUGGGCAGGCCUGCAGACAGGGGAUGACAUGAAGAAACUUCGCGCUGGAGCAGAGAUGAUAUGCAACGGAACCAUGAUGCUGAUGAGGGUCUGCGACGCGUCGGCCAAGAUCGGAAAGUGA
RNAcentral lists this ribosomal RNA (450 nucleotides) under Triticum aestivum (bread wheat). RNAcentral's name for it is "partial small subunit ribosomal RNA". Lineage: Eukaryota; Viridiplantae; Streptophyta; Magnoliopsida; Poales; Poaceae. The record is from RNAcentral.